UGCGCAGGCGGUUUUGUAAGACAGGCGUGAAAUCCCCGGGCUCAACCUGGGAACUGCGCUUGUGACUGCAAGGCUAGAGUAUGGCAGAGGGGGGUGGAAUUCCACGUGUAGCAGUGAAAUGCGUAGAGAUGUGGAGGAACACCGAUGGCGAAGGCAGCCCCCUGGGCCAAUACUGACGCUCAUGCACGAAAGCGUGGGGGAGCAAACAGGAUUAGAUACCCUGGUAGUCCACGCCCUAAACGAUGUCAACUAGGUGUUGGGUGGGUAAAACCAUUUAGUACCGGAGCUAACGCGUGAAGUUGACCGCCUGGGGAGUACGGCCGCAAGGUUAAA
This 333-nucleotide ribosomal RNA is filed under the name uncultured bacterium. RNAcentral describes it as "bacterial SSU rRNA". It matches the Rfam family "Bacterial small subunit ribosomal RNA", at positions 568 to 898 of the family's 1533-position model. The record is from RNAcentral.